This 460-nucleotide ribosomal RNA is filed under the name uncultured bacterium. RNAcentral describes it as "partial 16S ribosomal RNA". It matches the Rfam family "Bacterial small subunit ribosomal RNA", at positions 338 to 795 of the family's 1533-position model. The record is from RNAcentral.
CCUACGGGAGACUGCAGUGAGGAAUAUUGGUCAAUGGGCGCGAGCCUGAACCAGCCAAGUAGCGUGAAGGAUGACUGCCCUACGGGUUGUAAACUUCUUUUAUACAGGAAUAAAGUGCGGUACGUGUACCUCUUUGCAUGUACUUUAUGAAUAAGGAUCGGCUAACUCCGUGCCAGCAGCCGCGGUAAUACGGAGGAUCCGAGCGUUAUCCGGAUUUAUUGGGUUUAAAGGGAGCGUAGGUGGGUUGUUAAGUCAGUUGUGAAAGUUUGCGGCUCAACCGUAAAAUUGCAAUUGAUACUGGCAGUCUUGAGUACAGUUGAGGUAGGCGGAAUUCGUGGUGUAGCGGUGAAAUGCUUAGAUAUCACGAAGAACUCCGAUUGCGAAGGCAGCUUACUAAACUGCAACUGACAUUGAUGCUCGAAAGUGUGGGUAUCAAACAGGAUUAGAUACCCUUGUAGUC